This 226-nucleotide long non-coding RNA is filed under the name Olea europaea (common olive). RNAcentral's name for it is "long non-coding RNA (OEUR_LNC002723)". The record is from RNAcentral. Lineage: Eukaryota; Viridiplantae; Streptophyta; Magnoliopsida; Lamiales; Oleaceae.
UUUAACUUCAUCUCCAGUACAGCCUUCAGGAAUUAACUACUGACAACCUCAAUAAAAUCAAAAGGCCCCUAAAAUUCACGAGCUUAAAUCCAUAUUUGUAAACCAUAAAUUUUCUAAUCAGAUUCGGCAUGACACCUAAUAUCCAGAAACAGCAUCUCUUCACAUCCAGGAUUCCAAUUCAAAGCAACCCACUCAAUAAAAAAAGGGUAUCCAUAAAGAAUACAGG